Molecule: RNA transcript, 1331 nt
Organism: Triticum aestivum (bread wheat)
Lineage: Eukaryota; Viridiplantae; Streptophyta; Magnoliopsida; Poales; Poaceae
Exons: 8
Source: RefSeq, a predicted model, not a curated record
GCCUCCCUCCCCCCGCGCGCCUCCUCUCCUCCCCCCGCCUCCCGCAGCCACAUCGCCGCCGCCGCCACCCGCCUCCCCACUCGGGCGAACCCCUCUCCUCUUCCCCCGCCUCACCUCUCUCCCUUCCCCCGUCCAAACCCUAGGCCCGCGCCCGCCGGCCGCCGCCGCCGCCGCUCGCCCAGGCCAUCCUCCCGCUGUGAAGGAAGCGGCCAGAGAGGAAGGGCGUCGCCGGGUGUGCAUGUGCCUCCGCGGAUUCGUGCCACGGUUGCCGGAGGCGUGGGCGCCGCGGGUCACCUCUCCAGAUCGGUGGAGGCCAAGGGCAAGGGCAAGGAGGAGGGGAGAAGAAGACCUUCGGCCAGCUGCGGGAAGCCGCCGCUGGUGUCCUCCGCGGCAUCCACCGGCGCCGGUGGCGGGCAGAAGCGCAAGUGCCACGACCACGCGCACUCCGAGAACGUCGCCGGCGGAAAGUACGGCGCCUCCGGUGGCCGCUGCCACUGCUCCAAGCGCGGAAGUCCCAGGUUCGGCGGAUGACUCGCAUGCCGGCAAUCAGCUCGAAGGCGGCGGAGAUCCCCGCAGGCGACUUCUCGUGGCGCAAGUACGGGCAGAAGCUGCCUAUGGAGAAUGCCCUGGACUCAGCAGUUGACGUAACUCGGUUGAGCUGCGGUGCGCUAUAUUUAGCUGAUUUUAUUGGGAAGGGAAGAGGUAUGAAAUUCUCAACUUAGAGGGAGCAUACACAAGUGUAAGCAGACCCUUGAGCAAGAGAGCAACAUGACUGCUAGCUUCCCUGCUGCAUUACAGGAGAUGGAUACGAAGUCCUCGGAGGAGGAAUACAAAGCUCUACAAGGUGAUGGAGCUGGAGAUGUGUAUUUCCAGUCUCUUGAAGAACGAAUCAUUAAUAUGAAGUGAGUUUCUGAACUAGGCGGGAUACCAUGGUCCAUGGGUGCAAGAUAACUCAUAUAUGGAUUACCACGGGUCCAGUGCGUUUAAAGUAUGUAUAUGCUUAUAUGCGUGGCUGCUGUUGGUACAACUUGACAACUCCAUAUAGAGAUUUUGCAGGGAUGUAUAUAUAUGGUCAUGUUUCACUGGGAUCCUCAACUGUUCCAGUUCGUAUUUAGCAGGAUCACAUGUUGACCAAUGACUCAAAUUAAUUUUCUCACUGAUCCAGUUAACUCAAGAACUUGUGACCCAGUUCUAGGACAACUGUGGACUAAGGGAUGGAGGUUGAUUUAUCAGCGGUUACAGGCAUGCAUGCUUUAUGGUGGCAAGCAUUAUAUAUCAUUGAAGACUUUCCAUUUGUUCAAGUUCCUGAUAUGCUAAUCGCUAACCUUUAG